GCGGCGGCCAGCCGGGCCGCGGCGGCCGGGUCCUUGUCGGCCCAGGAACGCGGCGGGGGCGGGCCCGCCGGGGUCGCACCCGGCUGCGGCA
RNAcentral lists this transfer RNA (91 nucleotides) under Streptomyces virginiae. RNAcentral's name for it is "tRNA-Arg". The record is from RNAcentral. RNAcentral also lists the same sequence under 1 other name. Lineage: Bacteria; Bacillati; Actinomycetota; Actinomycetes; Kitasatosporales; Streptomycetaceae.